RNAcentral lists this ribosomal RNA (253 nucleotides) under uncultured bacterium. RNAcentral describes it as "partial 16S ribosomal RNA". It matches the Rfam family "Bacterial small subunit ribosomal RNA", at positions 524 to 776 of the family's 1533-position model. The record is from RNAcentral.
UACAGAGGUCUCAAGCGUUGUUCGGAUUCAUUGGGCGUAAAGGGAGCGUAGGUGGUGGGGCAAGUCAGGUGUGAAAUCUCGGGGCUCAACCCCGAAACUGCACUUGAUACUGCCUUGCUAGAGUACUGGAGAGGAGAUUGGAAUUUACGGUGUAGCAGUGAAAUGCGUAGAUAUCGUAAGGAAGACCAGUGGCGAAGGCGAAUCUCUGGACAGUUACUGACACUGAGGCUCGAAGGCCAGGGGAGCAAACGGG